UUUAAUGGAUUUGGCGGCAAGAUAGCCCAUUUAGAGGAACCUGCCCUGUAAACGAUGAACCACGAUAAACUUUACUUUAAUUAGAAACCAGUUUGUAUACCGCUGUUGUUAGUCAGUUUCCAUAGAAUACUUUCAAUAAUGAUACGUUCAUUGACUUCAAGUAAAGGUGCAGCUUAUAUUAAAGAUAGAGGUGGGUUACAAUUAUUAGAAUAAUUACGGAUAGUAGGAUGAAAAAUUACUUGAAGGUGGAUUUAAUUGUAAAAUUUAUAAUAAUUUGACUUGAGCACUGUUUUGUGUACACAC
Molecule: ribosomal RNA, 303 nt
Filed under: Waikalasma dianajonesae
Lineage: Eukaryota; Metazoa; Arthropoda; Thecostraca; Balanomorpha; Waikalasmatidae
Description: partial 12S ribosomal RNA
Source: RNAcentral